GGAUGUGGGAGUGCACAGACAACCAGGAUGUUGGCUUAGAAGCAGCCACUCAUUCAAAGAGUGCGUAAUAGCUCACUGGUCGAGUGAUCCUGCGCCGAAGAUUUCCGGGGCUAAAACUUACUACCGAAGCUACGGCAUCAGUAAUGAUGGGUAGGGGGGCUUCCCAUACGGGUUGAAGCAUGACCGUAAGGACAUGUGGACAGUAUGGGAGUGAGAAUGUUGGCAUGAGUAGCGAGAUGUGGGUGAGAAUCCCACAGGCCGUAAACCCAAGGUUUCCAGGGGAAGGUUCGUCCGCCC
RNAcentral lists this ribosomal RNA (297 nucleotides) under Clostridioides difficile. RNAcentral describes it as "partial 23S ribosomal RNA". It matches the Rfam family "Bacterial large subunit ribosomal RNA", at positions 1071 to 1375 of the family's 2925-position model. The record is from RNAcentral. Lineage: Bacteria; Bacillati; Bacillota; Clostridia; Peptostreptococcales; Peptostreptococcaceae.